GUAUCCAAAAACACCUAACUAUUUCUUGAAAAGCUGUGCUAUUGGCAUCUAUCUUAAGAUGCCUUGCUUGUUUCUGCACCCGGGUUCUCCAAUAGUUCUUGAUUUCAUUAUCUGUUCUUCCUGGUAAAUGCUGUGCAAUUUUCGACCACCUAUAUUCACAUAAUUACCAUAUCAAUAUAACUAUUCCUUUAAAAAACUAAUACAGUGAAAAAGAAUGUUUUAUAUUUCAGGGGAAUAGGAUCAGAAUCAAAUGAUGUCACUGCACAUAAUGUUAAGAUGGUGGGCUCAACUUGAAUGACAAAGUAAAAAUCCUUACCUGUUACCCAACUUAGAAUGAAGAUCAAGAAUCAAA
RNAcentral lists this long non-coding RNA (352 nucleotides) under Ricinus communis (castor bean). RNAcentral's name for it is "long non-coding RNA (RCOM_LNC003269)". Lineage: Eukaryota; Viridiplantae; Streptophyta; Magnoliopsida; Malpighiales; Euphorbiaceae. The record is from RNAcentral.